Molecule: unclassified non-coding RNA, 353 nt
Filed under: soil metagenome
Description: partial contains 5.8S ribosomal RNA, internal transcribed spacer 2, and large subunit ribosomal RNA
Rfam family: 5.8S ribosomal RNA (bases 1-120)
Source: RNAcentral
GAUGAAGAACGCAGCGAAAUGCGAUAAGUAAUGUGAAUUGCAGAAUUCAGUGAAUCAUCGAAUCUUUGAACGCACAUUGCGCCCGCCAGUAUUCUGGCGGGCAUGCCUGUUCGAGCGUCAUUACAACCCUCAGGCCCCCGGGCCUGGCGUUGGGGAUCGGCGGAAGCCCCCUGCGGGCACAACGCCGUCCCCCAAAUACAGUGGCGGUCCCGCCGCAGCUUCCAUUGCGUAGUAGCUAACACCUCGCAACUGNNNNNCGGCGCGGCCACGCCGUAAAACACCCAACUUCUGAAUGUUGACCUCGAAUCAGGUAGGAAUACCCGCUGAACUUAAGCAUAUCAAUAAGCGGAGGA